AUGGGAAAAAAAGAAGAACCAAAGAAAGAGACCCAAAAAGAAUUGGGAGACUCAAUAGGACACAAAGUCCUACCUACAUCUAAGGCUGCUGAAGGUGAUGAAAAAAAAGACAAGCGUAAAGAUAAUGGUGGAGAAAGCCGUGGUAAAGGCACAACUGAAAAUAAUGACAAACUAUAUGAGGAUUUUGUUUUCUGGAACUAUAGUAAGUUCAAGGAUAAGGAUGAUAAAGAUAGCAAUGAAUAUGAUAAUCAUGAUGAUAGUGAUAGUAAUGCUGACAACCCCAAAGAGGCUGGUGAUGGGUAUGGCCAAGAUGACGGGUCAAGCUGGUGAUAAUGGCGAACACAAAAAUAGGAAUAGUGAACAGCCUUUUUGAUAAAAGUAAACAUGUUAGAAACAUUGAUUUUAAGCAUG
This 411-nucleotide long non-coding RNA is filed under the name Sarcophilus harrisii (Tasmanian devil). RNAcentral describes it as "lncRNA (ENSSHAG00000028915.1)". The record is from RNAcentral. Lineage: Eukaryota; Metazoa; Chordata; Mammalia; Dasyuromorphia; Dasyuridae.